This 807-nucleotide long non-coding RNA is filed under the name Danio rerio (zebrafish). RNAcentral's name for it is "si:dkey-273e13.2 (ENSDARG00000092946.3)". Lineage: Eukaryota; Metazoa; Chordata; Actinopteri; Cypriniformes; Danionidae. The record is from RNAcentral.
AAUGAGCGAUUCGUUUUCGUUGUAAACAUUGUUUAAUCGUGGUUGGUAAAUUCUGAGGUCUGAAGAUACACUAAUCUGGCUCAAUGUCCAUAAUUGACGACUGAGGAGUAUUGAGAUUACCUUUGGAAGUAGUGCAGGCAGAAGGUCCAGAGCAUCAGGUGUUUCCCAGUGCCGUGGUUUCCAUCGGUGGUCAUCAUCAAAAGCAAGGGCACCAGUAAAGCUGGAAUCUCCUGGAGGAACCACGCUAGCCUUGCGGGCACCAUCAUGGAGCUGCCCGAGGUGUCCACGUAGCGGCCAUAGGCAGCGUGAGACUUCAUGAGACAAAUAAAGUGCAUUACCCCACCCAGGAUCAUCCCUAAACUCAGGCCCCGCACGAGGAGCUCCUGACACUGCAUUGGAGGUCGAGUAUCCGUCCGUUUUCAAACCAGGUAUGAGCCUAAUGCUGUAUCUCCCCUCUUAACCCCUCAGCAGAUUUGCGCAAACACAGCGUCUAAAAGCAGCUCCUCCCCAAAAAAAAGCAAGGCGAGAGUGGAGUCCUGACCGUGCUACAGCUUGCUGAAAUGAUGGAGGUUGUUACCUGCUGAAGGCACGAUCAUAUAUAUUUAUGCUCCAAAAGAUUCAACAGAGCUAAAAAAACUUAAAGCGUGCAAAUGGACACACACCCCAAUGGCAGAAGUCAGAGGAAAUGAUGAAGAGAUUGGAGGGGUCAGCCAGGUCGUACAGUGGCGUUCUGUAGACCUCGGCGGGGGAGAGGGCACAGCGAGACAGCGGCACGUGGUGAGAGGGGCCGAGAAUGAACACCCUCCG